Molecule: ribosomal RNA, 499 nt
Filed under: uncultured bacterium
Lineage: Bacteria
Description: partial 16S ribosomal RNA
Rfam family: Bacterial small subunit ribosomal RNA
Source: RNAcentral
AUUGAACGCUGGCGGCGUGCUUAACACAUGCAAGUCGAGCGGCAGCGCGGGAGCAAUCCUGGCGGCGAGCGGCGAACGGGUGAGUAAUGCUUCGGAAUCUGCCCAGUAGUGGGGAACAACCAGUCGAAAGACUGGCUAAUACCGCAUACGACCUAUGGGUGAAAGCAGGGGACCGCAAGGCCUUGCGCUAUUGGAUGCGCCGAAGUCGGAUUAGCUAGUUGGCGGGGUAGCGGCCCACCAAGGGGACGAUCCGUAGCUGGUCUGAGAGGACGACCAGCCACACUGGGACUGAGACACGGCCCAGACUCCUACGGGAGGCAGCAGUGGGGAAUAUUGGACAAUGGGGGAAACCCUGAUCCAGCGACGCCGCGUGUGUGAAGAAGGCCUGCGGGUUGUAAAGCACUUUUAGUGGGGAGGAAAACACCCGACCUAACACGUCGGGAAUUGACUUAACCCAAAGAAAAAGCACCGGCUAACUCUGUGCCAGCAGCCGCCGUAA